GCUUUUUUCAUGGGCUUCUGGAAUAUCAUUUUUCUCAUAGUCCUCCAGUUUUCUCCAGCUGCUCUUACUUUAUAUCUAGUCUUGGAAGUACUGAUUAUCUGCUCGUUCAUCUCUCUCUUACCUUAUGUACUUCCCUGUGUGAUCUCAUCUAUUCUCAUGAUUUUAAUUACCAUACAUGCUGUUGACAACCAAACCUGUUAUCUCUAACCCAGACUUUUUUAUUUGUUCAUUCACAUUUCUUUUGUUUGGAUUUUAGAUUUCUUUUAUAUGUUUUAUUUAUACACUUAUUUUUAAUUUUAUUACUUGAUUGUGUCUUUUAAAGAGAUAGCAUAGGCAAAAUAGCAGGAUUAAAAUUAAACUUAACAGCUCAUAUUAUCUCAUGCCCAAUCCAUAUUCAAAUUUGAACUAUUCUUUAAUAAACUUGUAUCCAAUCCAGAAUCACUCUUUACAUCUGGUUAUUUCCAGGAAGUCUCUUUUAUUCCAAAACAGUUUCUUUUUCAUGAUUCUGAAUUGUUGGAAAAAAAUUGUCCAUAAAAAUAUUCCCCUUUCUGGAUUAAUGUGGUUACUUCUUAAGGUGUUUAACUUUAAUUCCUAGAAACUGAAAUAUGGUUCUACAACCUUCAACUUGAUGAAUACUAAUUAAAUAUUUGUGUACAUAAGUAUUUAUAUUAAACCACAUUAGGAGCACAGAAUAUGCUGUUGUCCCACCAUGAAUGAUGCAAAGAUUUAACUCUGUGUUAGGGUGAUGACAGUCUGCUCGCUCCACUGUAUAGUUAACUUGUACUCCCCAAAUUGGCCGGUGUUUUUUUUUAGUGUUUGUCCUAUGCCAAGUAUUCUUCAGAGCUCAAGCCGUACUGGGUAUUCUACCUAUAUACUCAUGUGUUUUCAGAUGACAAGAGAAAAUCCUAGAGUACAUUGUUUAAAAAGCAGUGUGACAGUAGUUUCCUAGAAAGAAGCAAAUCUAAGAAGAGCACAAAGCUUUGAUUAUCUGCCCUGCUAGUGGUAAAUCCUUGGUUGCAUAGAGAGAAACUAAUCACAGAAGGUAGUAAAACUUAGGAAUAAUUUGGAUGUAUUUCUGUUUUUUGUUUGUUUGUUUGUUUUUUUAGUUUUGAUGGACACUGUACCUUUAUUUUAUUUAUUUAUUUUUCGUAGUACUGAGGAUCGAACCCAGUGCCUCAUACGUUUGAGGCAAGUUCUCUGCCACUGAGCCACCACCCCAGCCCCUAACUUGGUUGUAUUUCUAAUGAUAUAUAUUUUGCAACUGUAAAUCUUUGUUUUGAUAUAUUUUUCAGUGCUAGCAUCAGGAUGUAUUAAGAGUACAGGCUUCAGAAUCAGACAGGCUUUAGAAUCUCACUCUACACAACUAGUAAAUUCUAUGACCAUGGGCAAGGCACUAAAGUUAUACUGUACAUUUACAGAGUAGGAAUAUGGUUUAAGAGAGAAAUGUUUGCUAUCAAAUAGUUUCUUUUUUAAACAUAAUUAAAAAAAAUUUUAAAC
Molecule: long non-coding RNA, 1497 nt
Filed under: Marmota monax (woodchuck)
Lineage: Eukaryota; Metazoa; Chordata; Mammalia; Rodentia; Sciuridae
Source: RNAcentral